Molecule: long non-coding RNA, 382 nt
Organism: Mytilus californianus (California mussel)
Lineage: Eukaryota; Metazoa; Mollusca; Bivalvia; Mytilida; Mytilidae
Exons: 3
Source: RefSeq, a predicted model, not a curated record
UUUGUCCACCAGGAUGGAUCAUAUUUAAAAAGUUAUGCUAUAAAUUUUUUGAAAAUUAUAAAAACUGGGAUGAUGCAAAGAGUGAAUGUGGAAAAGAAAACGCAAUCCUUGCCGAACCAGAUACUACAACAGAAAUAGACUUUCUUAAACAUUUGGCUGGGAUACCUGAUGCAGGCUGUCGCGAAAACUUUUGGAUUGGUGGAAAAGAUCCCAAUCCACCAUCAAAAGACUUUCUUUGGACCUCAAGAGGUGUAAGAGUAAAAAUUGGAGCUACUGAUUGGGAAAUGGGUGAACCGAAUGACUUUCAAGGCAUACCUGAAAACUGCAUGCAAAUGCGUGCAAAUUUUGAUCAUAAUUGGAACGACAGUACCUGUGACAGCAC